AGUGGCGAACGGGUGAGUAACGCGUGAGGAACCUGCCUCAAAGAGGGGGACAACAGUUGGAAACGACUGCUAAUACCGCAUAAGCCCACGGGUCGGCAUCGACCAGAGGGAAAAGGAGCAAUCCGCUUUGAGAUGGCCUCGCGUCCGAUUAGCUAGUUGGUGAGGUAACGGCCCACCAAGGCAACGAUCGGUAGCCGGACUGAGGGGUUGAACGGCCACAUUGGGACUGAGACACGGCCCAGACUCCUACGGGAGGCAGCAGUGGGGAAUAUUGCACAAUGGGGGAAACCCUGAUGCAGCGACGCCGCGUGGAGGAAGAAGGUCUUCGGAUUGUAAACUCCUGUUGUUGAGGAAGAUAAUGACGGUACUCAACAAGGAAGUGACGGCUAACUACGUGCCAGCAGCCGCGGUAAAACGUAGGUCACAAGCGUUGUCCGGAAUUACUGGGUGUAAAGGGAGCGCAGGCGGGAAGACAAGUUGGAAGUGAAAUCCAUGGGCUCAACCCAUGAACUGCUUUCAAAACUGUUUUUCUUGAGUAGUGCAGAGGUAGGCGGAAUUCCCGGUGUAGCGGUGGAAUGCGUAGAUAUCGGGAGGAACACCAGUGGCGAAGGCGGCCUACUGGGCACCAACUGA
This 633-nucleotide ribosomal RNA is filed under the name uncultured bacterium. RNAcentral describes it as "bacterial SSU rRNA". It matches the Rfam family "Bacterial small subunit ribosomal RNA", at positions 94 to 743 of the family's 1533-position model. The record is from RNAcentral.